UACGGGGGGGGUAAGCGUUGUUCGGAAUUACUGGGCGUAAAGGGCUCGUAGGCGGCCAACUAAGUCAGACGUGAAAUCCCUCAGCUUAACUGGGGAACUGCGUCUGAUACUGGAUGGCUUGGAUUUGGGAGAGGGAUGCAGAAUUCCAGGUGUAGCGGUGAAAUGCGUAGAUAUCUGGAGGAAUACCGGUGGCGAAGGCGGCAUCCUGGACCGGCAUUGACGCUGAACAGCGAAAGCUAGGGGAGCAAACGGG
This 253-nucleotide ribosomal RNA is filed under the name uncultured bacterium. RNAcentral describes it as "partial 16S ribosomal RNA". It matches the Rfam family "Bacterial small subunit ribosomal RNA", at positions 524 to 776 of the family's 1533-position model. The record is from RNAcentral.